GACGAACGCUGGCGGCGGGCUUAACACAUGCAAGUCGAACGGAAAGGCCCUGCUUUUGUGGGGUGCUCGAGUGGCGAACGUGUGUGAAACACGUGAGUCACCUGCCCUUGACUUUGGGAUAACUUCAGGAAACUGGGGAUAAUACCGGAUAGUCGCUCCACCUCCAUGGGGGGUGAUGGAAAGUUUGGGCGGUUGGGGAUGGACUCGCGGCCUGUCAGCUGGUUGGUGGGGAAGUGGCUUACCAAGGCUUUGACGGGUAGCCGGCCUGAGAGGGUGACCGGCCACAUUGGGACUGAGAUACGGCCCAGAGUCCUACGGGAGGCAGCAGUGGGGGAGAUUGCACGAUGGGCGGAAGCCGGAUGCAGCAACGCCGCGUGCGGGAUGACGGCCUUCUGGUUGUAGACCACUUUCGCCUGUGACGGAGCGUGAGUGACGGUAAUGGGUAAAGAAGCACCGGCUAACUACGUG
This 468-nucleotide ribosomal RNA is filed under the name uncultured bacterium. RNAcentral describes it as "partial 16S ribosomal RNA". It matches the Rfam family "Bacterial small subunit ribosomal RNA", at positions 28 to 507 of the family's 1533-position model. The record is from RNAcentral.